CCAGCUCCAAUAGCGUAUAUUUAAGUUGUUGCAGUUAAAAAGCUCGUAGUUGGAUUUCGGGCGGUGCAGCCGGUCCGCCCUUUGGGUGUGUACUGGUUCGCGCCGUCUUCUCGGCGAGGACGCGCUCUCGUGCUUUACUGCGCGGGACGCGGAGUCGUCACAGUUACUUUGAAAAAAUUAGAGUGUUCAAAGCGGGCUUACGCUUGAAUAUAUUAGCAUGGAAUAACACGAUAGGACUCCCAUCCUAUUCUGUUGGUCUUUAGGACGGGAGUAAUGAUUAAGAGGAACAGUUGGGGGCAUUCGUAUUUCAUUGUCAGAGGUGAAAUUCUUGGAUUUAUGAAAGACGAACUUCUGCGAAAGCAUUUGCCAAGGAUGUUUUCA
This 381-nucleotide ribosomal RNA is filed under the name Monomastix sp. OTU114. Its description in RNAcentral is "SSU rRNA". It matches the Rfam family "Eukaryotic small subunit ribosomal RNA", at positions 585 to 972 of the family's 1831-position model. The record is from RNAcentral. Lineage: Eukaryota; Viridiplantae; Chlorophyta; Mamiellophyceae; Monomastigales; Monomastigaceae. RNAcentral also lists the same sequence under 1 other name.